This is a long non-coding RNA of Coregonus clupeaformis (lake whitefish), 110 nucleotides long. RefSeq lists it as uncharacterized. Lineage: Eukaryota; Metazoa; Chordata; Actinopteri; Salmoniformes; Salmonidae. The transcript has 3 exons. The record is from RefSeq and is a predicted model, not a curated record.
CCGAGUUCCCAGUUGUCUUGAACUCACUGAAGUUAGAUUUCCCAGUUCCGAGUUAACAGUUGUUUUGAGCGCGGCAGAAAUCAUGCUGGAUUGACAGCAUGGCCAAUGUU